RNAcentral lists this ribosomal RNA (440 nucleotides) under uncultured bacterium. RNAcentral's name for it is "partial 16S ribosomal RNA". It matches the Rfam family "Bacterial small subunit ribosomal RNA", at positions 338 to 795 of the family's 1533-position model. The record is from RNAcentral.
CCUACGGGAGGCAGCAGUGGGGAAUAUUGCACAAUGGGGGAAACCCUGAUGCAGCGACGCCGCGUGAGUGAAGAAGUAAUUCGUUAUGUAAAGCUCUAUCAGCAGGGAAGAAAAUGACGGUACCUGAGUAAGAAGCCCCGGCUAACUACGUGCCAGCAGCCGCGGUAAUACGUAGGGGGCAAGCGUUAUCCGGAUUUACUGGGUGUAAAGGGAGCGUAGACGGCAGUGCAAGUCUGGAGUGAAAGGCGGGGGCUCAACCCCCGGACUGCUCUGGAAACUGUACGGCUGGAGUGCAGGAGAGGUAAGUGGAAUUCCUGGGGUAGCGGUGAAAUGCGGAGAUAUUAGGAGGAACACCAGGGGCGAAGGCGGCUUACUGGACUGUAACGGACGUUGAGGCUCGAAAGCGUGGGGAGCAAACAGGAUUAGAUACCCGUGUAGUC